Molecule: transfer RNA, 87 nt
Filed under: marine eukaryotic metagenome
Rfam family: tRNA
About the family: Transfer RNA (tRNA) molecules are approximately 80 nucleotides in length. Their secondary structure includes four short double-helical elements and three loops (D, anti-codon, and T loops).
Source: RNAcentral
GAGGGGUGGCCGAGUGGCUGAAGGCGACGGUUUGCUAAAUCGUUAUAGGGUUAACGCUCUAUCGAGGGUUCGAAUCCCUCUCCCUCC